This 391-nucleotide long non-coding RNA is filed under the name Brassica napus (rape). Its description in RNAcentral is "long non-coding RNA (BNAP_LNC013924)". Lineage: Eukaryota; Viridiplantae; Streptophyta; Magnoliopsida; Brassicales; Brassicaceae. The record is from RNAcentral.
UGUAGGCUAAAUCUUGGGAGUAUCGAUUAAGGGACACAUGGACUCUUACUCUAGCAGGUAUCUGAGUAAACACGUAGUCUAAUUCUUGUUUCCUUUCUCCCUAUAUCUCUCUUCUCUGAAUCUCAUUAGUUUCAAUUUCAAUGAAUGUUGAUGCUGAUAUAGCCAUCUUGUUCAUCUUAUUGACUUUUCUACUUUUGUAGCUCUCUUUUUUUUGACAAAGUGGAGCGAAUAAUGGGGUCACAGGAGACACUCCUACCCCUCAUUUCCACAAUGUGUGAUCAUUCCUUUCAGAUUUAGAAUAAUGGGGUCACAGGAGACACUCCUACCCCUCUGCCUCUUCCAGAAAAUCAUUUCAAUCUUUUAUUUUUUUUAUCUUUGAGAUGCCAAAGAG